CAAAAGGCCCGAAAAACCUACACAAAACCCUCCCGCUACACAAAACCCUUCCGCCACUCUCCAUUCAUUUCCUUCCCCUUAUUUUUCUCCAUUCUCUUAAUCUAAAUAAAAACCCUAAAUCUCGGCCAUGAAUCCCGCAUAGUUGCCAAAAUCUAAGGUGUUUUUCUAUUCCGGUUUGUUUCGCCUUCGAUUUGGUAGAUCCACAAGUGUUUUCAUCGGGAAUUCUGUUUAAUUUUUUGAUUUUGAAGCGCGAGUUCCAUGAUUUCAUCGGCAAAUCCAACAGUGGUGUGAUUCAAAUAUGGAACGUGAAGGAGAAGUGGUCUUAUAGCUUGUUGGUUUGAGCAACUCUCUUUGGAUGUUAUGCACAAUAAAGUCGACUGAGGAGAAGUCAUCUAAGCUUGAGACAUUCUUGGUAUCUAAGUUUCAUUUCAGCAUAUCUAAAUUUCAACAAGGUUGGGUGUUAUAUGCUAAUUGCCUUGGAAAAAAUACUUGUUUAAUUAUUAAUCAACAUUCGAAGUUCUGAUGCAGAUUUUCGUUAAUGAGUUUCUCUAUAGGGUUAUAUUUGGCUUGCUGGCUGAACCAGAUCCACAUCUUACCAAAAAAAUGCUAAGGAGAACCAUGGAAAUCUCCCUUCAUUUUGGGACCUAUUUCUCAAGACUCAUAGGCUAAAGGACUCAUACGAGUUAUGUUCACAACAAGCAAAAGAAAUUGAGGUAAUUUGCUGUUUGAGUUUUACUUCUUUCCUGUUUCAGUAUAUGUGAAUAUUAUUGACAUUAUAAAACAUGUUUAGCUUAUUAUCAUGCUUCUGUAAGUUCUGUUUUAGGAUAGUAUGCUUCUGUAACUUUUCAGAAGAGUAAGUUCUGUUUUCAGAAGAGUGAGUAGCAUGCUUCUGUAACUUUUGCUAAUUGCUUGCUAAGUUCUGUUUUGGGAUAGUAUGCUUCUGUAACUUUUGUUUGUUUGUUUGUGAGAGAUGCAAGAAAACAAGUGAAAAAGAAAUUAUUCUGUGAGAAUGUUGCUGGAAUUCAUUUAAUUUUUGGUGGUCCAUUCAUUCACGGUUUAGUUUGAAUCUGCAUAUGUUUAAUUUUUUUUACCUCCAUUCUAUGAAAACUGAGAAUGGAGUUUGAUAACUCCAGCUAAAUGAUAUGUUUGUACUUUUUAUAUUUGUGAGUUUUAAUUUUUUUUGUCAGGUUGUUGGAUUGACUUAUUUUUUUUUGUUAAAAUAUGUGUUUUUGACAAUAAAGUGUAAUAUAGUUGGUAAGAUGUGUUCCCUUUAAUUAAUAAGUCAGAACUUGGAAUCACAAUAGUCUACUGCUGGCCACAUAAAUGAAUGAUGAACCAUUAUUGUUUAAUCUCUCCUCCAAUGAAUGAUGAACCAUUAUGUGGCCAACAUAAUUUCUUGCAUCAGCUCAGUGCUAAAUUUAACGUUUGUUUGUUUGUUUGAAUGAGAGGGUUUUGGCAAGGGCUGAAGAGUUGUGUGCUGAAGGGGAAGAUCCAGAUUACGAUGCAAUCUUUCUCGAGCUUUUUGGGAGGGUUAAGAAAAGGAAACAGGUUCCUGGAGCUGGGCAAGUGACAAGCUUGUAUUUUCCAUUUGCUACAAGCUCAGCUGCGGGCUCUGCAUCUUCCGGCUCGUCAUGCCUCAGCACUGAGCAGGUUGAUGAGCUUCUCGAGCGACGAGUACAACCUUUGCCUCAAGAGAUCGAAGAAUUGCGGGAGCUAGUAAAAGUCCUCAGUCGGCAAGUUCAAGCAAGUUCAAGAGUCUAGAAGAAGUGGCUAGUAGUAUUUGAACUAAAAUUGUGGAAACUAGUAGUAUUAGAACUUAAUUUGUGAUUUGAUUGAAUUGAAGUGUGAAACAAUGUUUUGUAUCUAUGUUAAAUUUGAAUUUUCGUUA
RNA transcript from Salvia splendens (bonfire salvia), 1888 nucleotides. RefSeq lists it as uncharacterized. Lineage: Eukaryota; Viridiplantae; Streptophyta; Magnoliopsida; Lamiales; Lamiaceae. The record is from RefSeq and is a predicted model, not a curated record. The transcript has 4 exons.